This 422-nucleotide ribosomal RNA is filed under the name uncultured bacterium. RNAcentral's name for it is "bacterial SSU rRNA". It matches the Rfam family "Bacterial small subunit ribosomal RNA", at positions 355 to 774 of the family's 1533-position model. The record is from RNAcentral.
UGAGGAAUAUUGGGCAAUGCCCGCAAGGGUGACCCAGCAACGCCGCGUGGAGGAUGAAUGUCGUAAGAUUGCAAACUCCUGUUAGAGGGGAAGAAUAGUACCGGUUGGACCGGUAUAUGACUGUACCCUCAGAGAAAGCCCCGGCUAACUACGUGCCAGCGGCCGCGGUAAUACGUAGGGGGCAAGCGUUGUCCGGAUUUACUGGGUGUAAAGGGCGCGCAGGCGGGAUAAAAAGUCAGUGGUGAAAUCCUACAGCUUAACUGUAGAACUGCCUUUGAUACUUUUAUUCUUGAGUUCGGGAGAGAGAGACGGAAUUCCAGGUGUAGUGGUGAAAUACGUAGAUAUCUGGAAGAACACCAGUUGCGAAGGCGGUCUCUUGGUCCGACACUGACGCUGAGGCGCGAAAGCGUGGGGAGCAAACA